Seriola dumerili (greater amberjack) is the source of this 169-nucleotide long non-coding RNA. RefSeq lists it as uncharacterized. The transcript is spliced from 3 exons. The record is from RefSeq and is a predicted model, not a curated record. Lineage: Eukaryota; Metazoa; Chordata; Actinopteri; Carangiformes; Carangidae.
GUCGCCUCUCAUUUUUAUUUUUUGACAUGAUUUUUCAUCACUUCUCCGGUCACCCUCUCACUCAUCUAUUGAGCCUCGAAGAGAACCAGAACCUUUUCAUCGUAGAUGAUGGUGAUUUUCAUCAGGAAUGCCGUGGUCAACCACAGAAGCUCCCCAGUGUGAAGAGAGC